Molecule: ribosomal RNA, 429 nt
Filed under: bacterium
Lineage: Bacteria
Also listed under: 1 other name
Description: partial 16S ribosomal RNA
Rfam family: Bacterial small subunit ribosomal RNA
Source: RNAcentral
UAGGGAAUCUUCCACAAUGGACGCAAGUCUGAUGGAGCAACGCCGCGUGAGUGAAGAAGGUUUUCGGAUCGUAAAGCUCUGUUGUUGGUGAAGAAGGAUAGAGGCAGUAACUGGUCUUUAUUUGACGGUAAUCAACCAGAAAGUCACGGCUAACUACGUGCCAGCAGCCGCGGUAAUACGUAGGUGGCAAGCGUUGUCCGGAUUUAUUGGGCGUAAAGCGAGCGCAGGCGGAAUGAUAAGUCUGAUGUGAAAGCCCACGGCUCAACCGUGGAACUGCAUCGGAAACUGUCAUUCUUGAGUGCAGAAGAGGGGAGUGGAAUUCCAUGUGUAGCGGUGGAAUGCGUAGAUAUAUGGAAGAACACCAGUGGCGAAGGCGGCUCUCUGGUCUGCAACUGACGCUGAGGCUCGAAAGCAUGGGUAGCGAACAGG